UAGGCUGCAACUCGCCUACACGAAGCUGGAAUCGCUAGUAAUCGCGGAUCAGCACGCCGCGGUGAAUACGUUCCCGGGCCUUGUACACACCGCCCGUCACACCAUGAGAGUCUGUAACACCCAAAGCCGGUGGGAUAACCUUUAUAGGAGUCAGCCGUCUAAGGUAGGACAGAUGAUUAGGGUGAAGUCGUAACAAGGUACC
This 202-nucleotide ribosomal RNA is filed under the name uncultured bacterium. RNAcentral's name for it is "partial 16S ribosomal RNA". It matches the Rfam family "Bacterial small subunit ribosomal RNA", at positions 1301 to 1500 of the family's 1533-position model. The record is from RNAcentral.